CUCGUAGGCGGCCAACUAAGUCGGAUGUGAAAUCCCCAGGCUUAACCUGGGAACUGCAUCCGAUACUGGAUGGCUUGAAUCCGGGAGAGGGAUGCAGAAUUCCAGGUGUAGCGGUGAAAUGCGUAGAUAUCUGGAGGAAUACCGGUGGCGAAGGCGGCAUCCUGGACCGGCAUUGACGCUGAUGAGCGAAAGCUAGGGGAAGACAAACG
Molecule: ribosomal RNA, 209 nt
Filed under: uncultured bacterium
Lineage: Bacteria
Description: partial 16S ribosomal RNA
Rfam family: Bacterial small subunit ribosomal RNA
Source: RNAcentral